This 322-nucleotide long non-coding RNA is filed under the name Equus caballus (horse). RNAcentral describes it as "lncRNA (ENSECAG00000053678.1)". Lineage: Eukaryota; Metazoa; Chordata; Mammalia; Perissodactyla; Equidae. The record is from RNAcentral.
GGGAGCGUCUACACUCCUGGCCGAGGGAGCCAGGCAGUCUCUUUGCAUCUUCCCAGCACCGUGGUGACAAGUAGCUGCCCUGGGUUGCAAGAUGGGAAGAGGAACUCUGCUUCCUUCCAGAGUGUUCUCCUGUCCUGAAGAGUGAUGAAUCUGCUGAACAAUUUAGACAGCCAUUUGCACGUCAAUUGACCCUUCUGUGAGUUCACCACGACCUGAGAAAGAACUCAGACAAGGUGUACCAGACAAUGUUUGGAACUACGAAGAAAGAAGAGAGAGAGAGAAAGAUGAAGGAAAUGAGAGAAGCUCACCUGAUGAAAAGAAA